RNAcentral lists this long non-coding RNA (1519 nucleotides) under Sinocyclocheilus grahami. RNAcentral describes it as "lncRNA (ENSSGRG00000029006.1)". The record is from RNAcentral. Lineage: Eukaryota; Metazoa; Chordata; Actinopteri; Cypriniformes; Cyprinidae.
GAGACUUGAUUCUAUCCAUGGGUUGUUGAUUGGAUGGUGGAAGAUAUGAAUGCGAGCUUUAGGUUGAUCCUAUGCAUGGAUGACUAGUUCAAUAAUAUGCAUUUAGAACAUCUGAUGCCAACUUUAAGUCAUCAUCCAUUUUGCAUGUCUGUCUUCCCUCACCUCUAGUUUGUCUAUCACUCCAUCCAUCUCUGGUAAUGACAUCAUCAUCCCUGUUGGAAUGUUUGUGUCACCCUUCUUCCAUUCCUCAUAUCCCAGGGCACUGAAUUAUGGCACACUGGGAUCUCUGAUGGCUAAAGAUCUUCUCCACCUUCUGUUCCCUGAUAGUAAGUCAGUAUGGACCUCAAUCACUCAACGUGAAUGUGCAUGUGUGAGUGUGGGAGUGUUUUUAAACGCCUUCUGUUUCUCAUCACUAGUCCACAUGCAGGCCAACAAUCCAGAGUCAGACAGCAUGUGCAUAUGGUCCCAUUAUCUGAGUGUGACCAGGGAUCCAGGAUGGGUCGGCACAUUCUCUCUUUCCCCCUCUAAACAGCAGGAGGUUUGGGUGCAGUACUCUGCUCUACAAGUGGCACUGAGUGCUUAUAAGAUGAGUUUCACAAGGCAUCCAGCAGACUCAUCUCUAUCAGGCCUUUCUUACCUUCACCUGUUCCUCUCCUCCUUUACAAAGGUAACGUGUGACGCUGACUCCUACCAUGAGUUCAUGCCCUUUGAACCUUCCUUCCUGGUGACAGUCCUGUGUUCAAACUCCGGCUUCUGCCCCAAAACGCUGACCUGUGUGAAUAAAUCUCAGAGUUAUCCUCAUGAGAUGUGUCAGAGUCGAACGCUGCACUAAAUCUGGGAGGAACUCGUGUCUGCUGAGACCUUUUGGAGCUUGUUUGGGAUUAUUGAACCAUUGGAGCUGCUCACUGUUUAGUAAAAGAAGGUCAUUCCAGAGAUCAUAAAGCUUUUUAUAUUCACUUGUUAAGUAAUGGGUUUUGGAAAAGUCACGGAUACAUACAUUUAAGCAAUAUUAUCACAUUUGAUAAAUCAUGUACAGAAUGAUGAACAGUUAAAGCCUGGUGGAUGUGUUCUCUCACAGCACUUAGAAAAUUGACCAUGCUUUUACUAUAGUAUUGAAUUUUGGGGGAGAUGUUGAUUCAUACAAAAUAAUAUUUUUGGGAAGGGAGGGAAUCUCAUACAUUUUUUUUAACUACAACUAGCAUAGUUUGUUUACAGAGUUACACUGGUUUACAUGUGGUUACUGUAAAUACCACAGUUAAACUGGUUACUAUACAAGAUUUAUGGUACAUUUUUACCAAGGAAGGAGAGCAUUUCACCAAGUAAAAGUGAUUCCAGUUGUAAUUCAUUAAUGAUGGAUAAUUGUGCUCUUUAUUCUCGCUAUUGUAAAUACAGUUUGAUGUCUAAAGUCUGAAUGUAUCAUGAAUGCCACUCUUAUUUUUGAAAUGUAUUAUGUUUGGAUGAAACAUAAAAAAAAGUAUUUUUUGCAUGUGUGCUUUUUGGUCUGUAGUCAAGGAAUUUC